CCGUCCCCGCCUCGGCCGCCCGUCUCUGCCUCCGCCAUGGCUGCUGCUUGCCCGCCGGCCCCGACGUGACCACCCCGGAUCCUCACUGCUUGACUACUACGACCGCCGACCUCGACACUUCGCCUACUUCCUCUACUACCGAGGGUGAUUGCACAAUGACGGGUGGUAGAUCCACAAAAGGAACCAUUAGUCAUAUGUAUGGCCAAGAGAAGCCAAGAAUAAGCCGUCCUCGAAAUAGAAGACCUCCUGGUCGCUUCCUUGAUGAGGAAGCAGGAGAGCGCGAGGUUGAGGUGCCACGAGGACGAGGAGGGAGUGCCACAGGGAUGGCACGAGGUCGAGGUCGAGGACGAUCUCGUACUAGACACGUUCAGGAGCUUGUAGUAGCCCCCGAGGAUACUACACUCAGACGACG
Molecule: long non-coding RNA, 412 nt
Organism: Lolium rigidum
Lineage: Eukaryota; Viridiplantae; Streptophyta; Magnoliopsida; Poales; Poaceae
Exons: 3
Source: RefSeq, a predicted model, not a curated record